CGUUUGAUCGGCCCUUUGAAACCCUUCACAAUUGCCUGUGACGAACGGCCAGUCUCAGUUUUUCUCGGAAUAAUGCCUAGAGGGAAACAGACAGGCAUGCAGAAGUAACUAGACGUCCAACACAUGCCAAAGUCUUGCGGGCCCAGGAUUUCAAACAAAAGAAAACUCGGGUAACGUGACUGUAAAUCAAGGGCGCUUGAGACCAUAGACAUGCGCACCUAGAAGGGUUAAUCGGCGGAGGGGGAGGAGAGAGGCU
Molecule: long non-coding RNA, 256 nt
Filed under: Capra hircus (goat)
Lineage: Eukaryota; Metazoa; Chordata; Mammalia; Artiodactyla; Bovidae
Description: lncRNA (ENSCHIG00010025206.1)
Source: RNAcentral